This 69-nucleotide transfer RNA is filed under the name Candidatus Aenigmatarchaeota archaeon. Its description in RNAcentral is "tRNA-Arg". It matches the Rfam family "tRNA". From Rfam's summary of the family: Transfer RNA (tRNA) molecules are approximately 80 nucleotides in length. Their secondary structure includes four short double-helical elements and three loops (D, anti-codon, and T loops). Lineage: Archaea; Nanobdellati; Candidatus Aenigmatarchaeota. The record is from RNAcentral.
GAUAGUCUAGCUUGGAUAGGACGUAAGGUUGCGGACCUUAAGACCUGGGUUCGAAUCCCAGUGGGGGCA